RNAcentral lists this transfer RNA (72 nucleotides) under Camelus bactrianus (Bactrian camel). It matches the Rfam family "tRNA". From Rfam's summary of the family: Transfer RNA (tRNA) molecules are approximately 80 nucleotides in length. RNAcentral also lists the same sequence under 1 other name. The record is from Rfam by way of RNAcentral. Lineage: Eukaryota; Metazoa; Chordata; Mammalia; Artiodactyla; Camelidae.
GGAGGUAUAGCUCAGUGGUAGAGCCCAUGCUUAGCAUGCACGAGGUCCUGGGUUCAGUUCCCAUUACCUCCA